Molecule: ribosomal RNA, 643 nt
Filed under: uncultured bacterium
Lineage: Bacteria
Description: bacterial SSU rRNA
Rfam family: Bacterial small subunit ribosomal RNA
Source: RNAcentral
CGCGGCCUAKCAGCUUGUUGGUGAGGUAAUGGCUUACCAAGGCGACGACGGGUAGCCGGCCUGAGAGGGUGACCGGCCACACUGGGACUGGGAUACGGCCCAGACUCCUACGGGAGGCAGCAGUGGGGAAUAUUGCACAAUGGGCGCAAGCCUGAUGCAGCGACGCCGCGUGAGGGAUGACGGCCUUCGGGUUGUAAACCUCUUUCGCCAGGGACGAAGCGCAAGUGACGGUACCUGGAGAAGAAGGACCGGCCAACUACGUGCCAGCAGCCGCGGUAAUACGUAGGGUCCGAGCGUUGUCCGGAAUUACUGGGCGUAAAGAGCUCGUAGGUGGUUUGUCGCGUUGUUCGUGAAAACUCACAGCUUAACUGUGGGCGUGCGGGCGAUACGGGCAGACUUGAGUACUGCAGGGGAGACUGGAAUUCCUGGUGUAGCGGUGGAAUGCGCAGAUAUCAGGAGGAACACCGGGGGCGAAGGCGGGUCUCUGGGCAGUAACUGACGCUGAGGAGCGAAAGCGUGGGGAGCGAACAGGAUUAGAUACCCUGGUAGUCCACGCCGUAAACGGUGGGUACUAGGUGUGGGUUUCCUUCCUUGGGAUCCGUGCCGUAGCUAACGCAUUAAGUACCCCGCCUGGGGAGUACGG